GGGGGGAGCAAGCGUUGUUCGGAUUUACUGGGCGUAAAGGGCGCGUAGGCGGCCAGCACAAGUCAGUUGUGAAAUCUCCGAGCUUAACUCGGAAAGGUCAACUGAUACUGUGCGGCUAGAGUGCGGAAGGGGCAACUGGAAUUCUUGGUGUAGCGGUGAAAUGCGUAGAUAUCAAGAGGAACACCUGCGGCGAAGGCGGGUUGCUGGGCCGACACUGACGCUGAUGCGCGAAAGCCAGGGGAGCGAACGGGAUUAGAUACCCCGGUAGUCCUGGCCUUAAACGAUGAAUGCUUGGUGUCUGGGGUUAUAAAGUCCCCGGGUGCCGUCGCUAACGCUUUAAGCAUUCCGCCUGGGGAGUACGGUCGCAAGACUG
RNAcentral lists this ribosomal RNA (373 nucleotides) under uncultured organism. Its description in RNAcentral is "bacterial SSU rRNA". It matches the Rfam family "Bacterial small subunit ribosomal RNA", at positions 527 to 896 of the family's 1533-position model. The record is from RNAcentral.